This 891-nucleotide ribosomal RNA is filed under the name Laccaria aff. montana AWW446. RNAcentral's name for it is "eukaryotic LSU rRNA". It matches the Rfam family "Eukaryotic large subunit ribosomal RNA", at positions 69 to 944 of the family's 3401-position model. The record is from RNAcentral. Lineage: Eukaryota; Fungi; Basidiomycota; Agaricomycetes; Agaricales; Hydnangiaceae.
ACAGGAUUCCCCUAGUAACUGCGAGUGAAGCGGGAAAAGCUCAAAUUUAAAAUCUGGCAGUCUUUGGCUGUCCGAGUUGUAAUCUAGAGAAGUAUUAUCCGCGCUGGACCGUGUACAAGUCCCCUGGAAUGGGGCGUCAUAGAGGGUGAGAAUCCCGUCUUUGACACGGACUGCCAGGGCUUUGUGAUGUGCUCUCAAAGAGUCGAGUUGUUUGGGAAUGCAGCUCAAAAUGGGUGGUAAAUUCCAUCUAAAGCUAAAUAUUGGCGAGAGACCGAUAGCGAACAAGUACCGUGAGGGAAAGAUGAAAAGAACUUUGGAAAGAGAGUUAAACAGUACGUGAAAUUGCUGAAAGGGAAACGCUUGAAGUCAGUCGCGUUGGCCAGGGAUCAACCUUGCUUUUUUGCUUGGCUUACUUUCUGGUCGAUGGGUCAGCAUCAAUUUUGACUGGUGGAAAAAGUUCAAGGGAAUGUGGCAUCUUCGGAUGUGUUAUAGCCUUUGUUCACAUACAUCAGUUGGGAUUGAGGAACUCAGCACGCCGCAAGGCCGGGUUUUUAACCACGUACGUGCUUAGGAUGCUGGCAUAAUGGCUUUAAUCGACCCGUCUUGAAACACGGACCAAGGAGUCUAACAUGCCUGCGAGUGUUUGGGUGAAAAACCCGAGCGCGUAAUGAAAGUGAAAGUUGAGAUCCCUGUCGUGGGGAGCAUUGACGCCCGGAUCUGACCUUUUGUGACGAUUCUGCGGUAGAGCAUGUAUGUUGGGACCCGAAAGAUGGUGAACUAUGCCUGAAUAGGGUGAAGCCAGAGGAAACUCUGGUGGAGGCUCGUAGCGAUUCUGACGUGCAAAUCGAUCGUCAAAUUUGGGUAUAGGGGCGAAAGACUAAUCGAACCAUC